This 488-nucleotide ribosomal RNA is filed under the name uncultured bacterium. RNAcentral describes it as "bacterial SSU rRNA". It matches the Rfam family "Bacterial small subunit ribosomal RNA", at positions 28 to 507 of the family's 1533-position model. The record is from RNAcentral.
GAUGAACGCUAGCUACAGGCUUAACACAUGCAAGUCGAGGGGCAGCACAGUGUAGCAAUACAUGGGUGGCGACCGGCGCACGGGUGCGUAACGCGUAUCCAACCUUCCCGUUACUCUUGGAUAGCCUUCCGAAAGGGGAGAUUAAUACAAGAUGGUAUUCAAAUUCCGCAUGUUAUUUGAAUUAAAGAUUUAUCGGUAACGGAUGGGGAUGCGUGACAUUAGGUAGAUGGCGGGGUAACGGCCCACCAUGCCCACGAUGUCUAGGGGUUCUGAGAGGAACGGUCCCCCACACUGGAACUGAGACACGGUCCAGACUCCUACGGGAGGCAGCAGUGAGGAAUAUUGGUCAAUGGUCGGAAGACUGAACCAGCCAAGUAGCGUGAAGGAUGAAGGUUCUAUGGAUUGUAAACUUCUUUUAUACGGGAAUAAAACCACCUACGUGUAGGUGCUUGUAUGUACCGUAUGAAUAAGCAUCGGCUAACUCCGUG